AGAGUUUGAUCCUGGCUCAGAAGGAACGCUGGCAGCGUGCAUAACACAUGCAAGUUGAACGGGAUUGUUAUCUUCGGGUAACAUGAGAGUAGCGAACGGGUGAGUAACACGUAAGAAUCUACCUUUAGGACGGGGAUAACUUCUGAAACGGAUGCUAAUACCCGAUAUGCUGUGGAGUGAAAGAUUUUUCGCCUAGGGAUGAGCUUGCGUCUGAUUAGCUAGAUAGGGUGGUAAUGGCACACUAUGGCGACGAUCAGUAGCUGGUCUGAGAGGAUGGACAGCCACAUUGGAACUGAGACACGGUCCAAACUCCUACGGGAGGCAGCAGUGGGGAAUUUUCCGCAAUGGGCGAAAGCCUGACGGAGCGACGCUGCGUGAAGGAUGACGGCCUGCGGGUUGUAAACUUCUUUUCUCGAAGAAGAAUCAAUGACGGUAUUCGAGGAAUAAGCAUCGGCUAACUCUGUGCCAGCAGCCGCGGUAAGACAGAGGAUGCAAGUGUUAUUCGGAUUGAUUGGGCGUAAAGCGUCUGUAGGCGGUUUAGAAAGUCUCUUGUGAAAUUCUUCAGCUCAACUGAGGGUCCGCAAAAGAAACUUCUAGGCUUGAGGGAAGUAGAGGUAUAGGGAAUUUCCGGUGGAGCGGUGAAAUGCGUAGAUAUCGGAAGGAACACCAAUAUGGCGAAGGCACUGUACUGGGCUUUUCCUGACGCUAAGAGACGAAAGCUAAAGGAGUGAUUAGGAUUAGAUACCCUAGUAAUUUUAGCCGUAAACGAUGGAAACUCACUGCCGAGCCGGUAUUCGGAGCGGUGGUCAAGCUAACGCGUGAAGUUUCCCGCCUGGGGAUUACGCAUGCAAAUGUGAAACUCAAAGGGAAUUGACGG
This 877-nucleotide ribosomal RNA is filed under the name uncultured marine bacterium. Its description in RNAcentral is "bacterial SSU rRNA". It matches the Rfam family "Bacterial small subunit ribosomal RNA", at positions 8 to 916 of the family's 1533-position model. The record is from RNAcentral.